RNAcentral lists this ribosomal RNA (381 nucleotides) under uncultured bacterium. RNAcentral describes it as "partial 16S ribosomal RNA". It matches the Rfam family "Bacterial small subunit ribosomal RNA", at positions 338 to 795 of the family's 1533-position model. The record is from RNAcentral.
CCUACGGGCGGCAGCAGUGGGGAAUAUUGGGCAAUGGGCGCAAGCCUGACCCAGCAAUGCCGCGUGAAGGAAGAAGGCUUUCGGGUUGUAAACUUCUUUGACAGGGGAAGAGCAGAAGACGGUACCCUGAAAACAAGCCACGGCUAACUACGUGCCAGCAGCCGCGGUAAUACGUAGGUGGCAAGCGUUGUCCGGAUUUACUGGGUGUAAAGGGCGUGUAGCCGGGCUGGAGUGCAGGAGAGGUAAGCGGAAUUCCUGGUGUAGCGGUGAAAUGCGUAGAUAUUAGGAGGAACACCAGUGGCGAAGGCGGCUUACUGGACUGUAACUGACGUUGAGGCUCGAAAGCGUGGGGAGCAAACAGGAUUAGAUACCCCAGUAGUC